AAGUCGUAACAAGGUUUCCGUAGGUGAACCUGCGGAAGGAUCAUUAUUAAAUAAUCCUUAAGGAUUUUAAAUCCUUAUCCACCUCUGUGAACUUGUAAAUGUUAGCUCCCUUUUGGCGCAUCGCAAAACAGUACUGCCUAGACUUGAGAUCCAGCCUUACGGCUAGAUCAAGGGCUUAGGUCUUACUGGGUGCGUCGGAAGGGUAGCACUUUCUAUAAACCUCCUGUCUUCUUUACUUGACUGAAAUCUGUUUCUCUGCUUUGGCAUUGAAAUGAAAAACAAAUUUGAAACAACUUUCAACAACGGAUCUCUUGGCUCCCA
This 321-nucleotide unclassified non-coding RNA is filed under the name fungal sp. RNAcentral's name for it is "partial internal transcribed spacer region". The stretch from base 1 to 46 matches the Rfam family "Eukaryotic small subunit ribosomal RNA", at positions 1786 to 1831 of the family's 1831-position model. The record is from RNAcentral. Lineage: Eukaryota; Fungi.